GACGAACGCUGGCGGCGUGGAUUAGGCAUGCAAGUCGAACGGUAGGAUACCUUCGGGUAUCUGAGAGUGGCGAACGGGUGAGUAACACGUAGGUGAUCUACCCUCAAGAUUGGGACAACCCAGGGAAACUUGGGCUAAUACCGGAUGAAAGCAGCAGUGAUGUUGUUUGAAAGGUGGCGUAAGCUGCCGUUUGGGGAUGAGCCUGCGCUCUAUUAGUUAGUUGGCGGGGUAAAGGCCCACCAAGGCGAUGAUAGAUAGGCGGCCUUAACGGGUGGUCGCCCACACUGGGAUUGAGAUACGGCCCAGACUCCUACGGGAGGCAGCAGUCGAGAAUAGUCUACAAUGGCCGAAAGGCUGAUAGCGCGACGCCGCGUGAACGAAGAAGCCCUUCGGGUGUAAAGUUCUUUUAUAUGUGAGCAGUGCUUUCUAUGUGAACAGCAUAGGGAGAGAGAUAUUAGCAUAUGAAUAAGCAACGGCUAACUCCGUGCCAGCA
RNAcentral lists this ribosomal RNA (493 nucleotides) under uncultured bacterium. Its description in RNAcentral is "bacterial SSU rRNA". It matches the Rfam family "Bacterial small subunit ribosomal RNA", at positions 28 to 513 of the family's 1533-position model. The record is from RNAcentral.